This 445-nucleotide ribosomal RNA is filed under the name uncultured bacterium. Its description in RNAcentral is "bacterial SSU rRNA". It matches the Rfam family "Bacterial small subunit ribosomal RNA", at positions 29 to 506 of the family's 1533-position model. The record is from RNAcentral.
AUGGACGCUAGCGGUGCGCCUAACACAUGCAAGUCGAACGGAUAUAGAGGGCUUGCUCUCUAUAUUAGUGGCAAACGGGUGAGUAACAAGUUUGUACCUACCCCAAAGUGAGGGAUAGCCCAUCGAAAGAUGGAUUAAUACCGCAUAGUCCCGCAAGGGUAAAGCCGCAAGGCGCUUUGGGAGGGGCAUGCUUUCUAUCAGCUAGUUGGUGAGGUAAUAGCUCACCAAGGCUAUGACGGAUAGUUGGUCUGAGAGGACGACCAGCCACAAUGGAACUGAGACACGGUCCAUACUCCUACGGGAGGCAGCAGUGAGGAAUCUUCCGCAAUGGGCGAAAGCCUGACGGAGCGACACCGCGUGGAGGAUGACGCGUUUACUCGUGUAAACUCCUUUUCUGUGGGAAGAUAAUGACGGUACCACAGGAAUAAGGGGCGGCAAACUACGU